CCUACGGGCUGCAGCAGUGGGGAAUAUUGCGCAAUGGGCGCAAGCCUGAUGCAGCCAUGCCGCGUGUAUGAAGAAGGCCUUCGGGUUGUAAAGUACCUUCAGCGGGGAGGAAGGCGAUAAGGUUAAUAACCUUGUCGAUUGACGUUACCCGCAGAAGGAGCACCGGCUAACUCCGUGCCAGCAGCCGCGGUAAUACGGAGGGUGCAAGCGUUAAUCGGAAUUACUGGGCGUAAAGCGCACGCAGGCGGUCUGUCAAGUCGGAUGUGAAAUCCCCGGGCUCAACCUGGGAACUGCAUUCGAAACUGGCAGGCUAGAGUCUUGUAGAGGGGGGUAGAAUUCCAGGUGUAGCGGUGAAAUGCGUAGAGAUCUGGAGGAAUACUGGUGGCGAAGGCGGCCCCCUGGACAAAGACUGACGCUGAGGCGCGAAAGCGUGGGGAGCAAACAGGAUUAGAUACCCGUGUAGUC
Molecule: ribosomal RNA, 465 nt
Filed under: uncultured bacterium
Lineage: Bacteria
Description: bacterial SSU rRNA
Rfam family: Bacterial small subunit ribosomal RNA
Source: RNAcentral